This 584-nucleotide ribosomal RNA is filed under the name uncultured beta proteobacterium. RNAcentral describes it as "bacterial SSU rRNA". It matches the Rfam family "Bacterial small subunit ribosomal RNA", at positions 338 to 916 of the family's 1533-position model. Lineage: Bacteria; Pseudomonadati; Pseudomonadota; Betaproteobacteria. The record is from RNAcentral.
CCUACGGGAGGCAGCAGUGGGGAAUUUUGGACAAUGGGGGCAACCCUGAUCCAGCAAUGCCGCGUGAGUGAAGAAGGCCUUCGGGUUGUAAAGCUCUUUUGUCAGGGAAGAAACACCGGCUCUAACACAGUCCGGGAAUGACGGUACCUGAAGAAUAAGCACCGGCUAACUACGUGCCAGCAGCCGCGGUAAUACGUAGGGUGCAAGCGUUAAUCGGAAUUACUGGGCGUAAAGCGUGCGCAGGCGGUUAUACAAGACAGGCGUGAAAUCCCCGGGCUUAACCUGGGAAUGGCGCCUGUGACUGUAUAGCUAGAGUGUGUCAGAGGGGGGUAGAAUUCCACGUGUAGCAGUGAAAUGCGUAGAUAUGUGGAGGAAUACCAAUGGCGAAGGCAGCCCCCUGGGAUAACACUGACGCUCAUGCACGAAAGCGUGGGGAGCAAACAGGAUUAGAUACCCUGGUAGUCCACGCCCUAAACGAUGCUGACUAGUUGUUCGGGAUUUACAUCCUGAGUAACGUAGCUAACGCGUGAAGUCAGCCGCCUGGGGAGUACGGUCGCAAGAAUGAAACUCAAAUGAAUUGACGG